RNAcentral lists this ribosomal RNA (517 nucleotides) under uncultured bacterium. Its description in RNAcentral is "bacterial SSU rRNA". It matches the Rfam family "Bacterial small subunit ribosomal RNA", at positions 8 to 518 of the family's 1533-position model. The record is from RNAcentral.
AGAGUUGAUCAUGGCUCGAGGACGAACGCUGGCGGCGUGCCUAACACAUGCAAGUCGAGCGGAGUCAGUAAGAGGAAGUUUCGGAUGGAAUCUUGUUGAUUAGCGGCGGACGGGUGAGUAACGCGUGAGCGACCAACCUUGCAACAGGGGGAUAACGGACCGAAAGGUUCACUAAUACCGCAUGAGACCACGGUGUUGCAUGACACAGAGGUCAAAGGAGCAAUCCGGUGCAAGACGGGCUCGCGUCCGAUUAGGUAGUUGGAGGGGUAACGGCCCACCAAGCCUAUGAUCGGUAGCCGACCUGAGAGGGUGAUCGGCCACAUUGGAACUGAGAUACGGUCCAAACUCCUACGGGAGGCAGCAGUGGGGAAUAUUGGGCAAUGGGGGGAAAAACCCCCUGACCCAGCAACGCCGCGUGAAGGAAGAAGGUUUUCGGAUUGUAAACUUCUGUCCUUGGUGAAGAGAAGAAGACGGUAGCCAAGGAGGAAGCCCCGGCUAACUACGUGCCAGCAGCCGC